This 465-nucleotide ribosomal RNA is filed under the name uncultured bacterium. Its description in RNAcentral is "partial 16S ribosomal RNA". It matches the Rfam family "Bacterial small subunit ribosomal RNA", at positions 28 to 507 of the family's 1533-position model. The record is from RNAcentral.
GACGAACGCUGGCGGCGUGCUUAACACAUGCAAGUCGAACGGAAAGGCCCUGCUUGCAGGGUACUCGAGUGGCGAACGGGUGAGUAACACGUGGGUGAUCUGCCCUGCACUUCGGGAUAAGCCUGGGAAACUGGGUCUAAUACCGGACAGGAGCCAUUUUUAGUGUGAUGGUUGGAAAGUUUUUUCGGUGUAGGAUGAGCUCGCGGCCUAUCAGCUUGUUGGUGGGGUAAUGGCCUACCAAGGCGGCGACGGGUAGCCGGCCUGAGAGGGUGGACGGCCACAUUGGGACUGAGAUACGGCCCAGACUCCGACGGGAGGCAGCAGUGGGGAAUAUUGCACAAUGGGCGCAAGCCUGAUGCAGCGACGCCGCGGGGGGGAUGACGGCCUUCGGGUUGGAAACUCCUUUCGCUAGGGACGAAGCUUUUUGUGACGGUACCUAGAUAAGAAGCACCGGCUAACUACGUG